AACGAACGCUGGCGGCAUGCCUAACACAUGCAAGUCGAACGAGACCUUCGGGUCUAUUGGCGCACGGGUGCGUAACGCGUGGGAACCUGCCCUUAGGUUCGGAAUAACUCCCCGAAAGGGGUGCUAAUACCGGAUAAUGUCUUCGGACCAAAGAUUUAUCGCCUUUGGAUGGGCCCGCGUUGGAUUAGCUAGUUGGUAGGGUAAAAGCCUACCAAGGCGACGAUCCAUAGCUGGUCUGAUAGGAUGAUCAGCCACACUGGGACUGAGACACGGACCAGACUCCUACGGGAGGCAGCAGUGGGGAAUAUUGGACAAGGGGCGAAAGCCUGAUCAAGCAAUGCCGCGGGAGUGAUGAAGGCCUUAGGGUUGUAAAGCUGUUUUACCCGGGAUGAUAAUGACAGUACCGGGAGAAUAAGCUCCGGCUAACUCCGUG
This 433-nucleotide ribosomal RNA is filed under the name uncultured bacterium. RNAcentral describes it as "partial 16S ribosomal RNA". It matches the Rfam family "Bacterial small subunit ribosomal RNA", at positions 29 to 507 of the family's 1533-position model. The record is from RNAcentral.